AGGUGUAUAGUUCAACGGUUAGAACGGUGGUCUUAUAAACCACUAAUAGAAGUUCAACUCUUCUUACACCUA
This 72-nucleotide transfer RNA is filed under the name Caudoviricetes sp. RNAcentral describes it as "tRNA-Ile". It matches the Rfam family "tRNA". From Rfam's summary of the family: Transfer RNA (tRNA) molecules are approximately 80 nucleotides in length. Their secondary structure includes four short double-helical elements and three loops (D, anti-codon, and T loops). Lineage: Duplodnaviria; Heunggongvirae; Uroviricota; Caudoviricetes. The record is from RNAcentral.